ACACUUGUAAUUACUGGACUUCGGUGUGUGUGGAGCCAGAUUUGGUGAUUUCCACUCGCCAUGGAUCAUUCUCUUGGACAAGUGGGAUUCCCUCUACAGUAAUUUCGUUCAUGCUGUGAAUCAGUCUACAGCAAGUUCGAGCGGGAGUCGGAGGAUCACAUCGGUAUUUACUAACGGUCGUCGGACGCUUUCCUUCAGUCUGCUGCUCCAGUAUGCUGUGCUUGGAGAGGCGUUCCUGCUGCAGGUAGCUAAGCUACAUUAGCGAGAAGGAGGAGCACUACUGGAACAUCGCAAAAUCAGGAAACCUCCACUCAGGCAGACGUGGAAACCCACCUCUCACUGCCAAGCACUCCCAGGCUGAUCAUGCUUGUGAAGAAGACUUCAGUCUACAACUCUAUACUCCAUUUCUCCAGCUAUCUGUUGUGAUCAGGACGUUCUCAAGUUUUGUGGAAAACACAUUUCCAGUUGUAACUGUUCAUAAGCUGUGUGUGUGUGUGUGUGUGUGUGUGUGUGUGUGUGUGUGUGUGUGUGUGUGUGUG
Sardina pilchardus (European sardine) is the source of this 539-nucleotide long non-coding RNA. RefSeq lists it as uncharacterized. The record is from RefSeq and is a predicted model, not a curated record. NCBI's taxonomy places the organism in Eukaryota, Metazoa, Chordata, Actinopteri, Clupeiformes, Clupeidae. The transcript is spliced from 4 exons.